UGUAAGCGUAUACCAAAGUUGUUGCAGUUAAAACGCUCGUAGUCGGAAUUUGGCAGUUCCGGAUGUGUGCACGUCGUGUGCGCACUUCGCGGGGAUUGCUUUUGUGGUCUUGCGUAGGAUGAGGCACUUUUAUUAGUGAACGUCCUCACGCAACCACUUUUUACUGUGAGAAAAUCAGAGUGCUCAAAGCAGGCAUUUGCCGUGAACGUAUUAGCAUGGAAUAAUAGAAUAGGACUUGGUUCUAUUUUGUUGGUUUGUUGGGACUGAGUAAUGAUUAAGAGGGACAGUUGGGGGCAUUUGUAUUUCGGUGCUAGAGGUGAAAUUCUUGGAUUACCGAAAGACAAACUGCUGCGAAAGCGUCUGCCAAGGAUGUUUUCAUUGA
RNAcentral lists this ribosomal RNA (382 nucleotides) under uncultured eukaryote. RNAcentral describes it as "partial 18S ribosomal RNA". It matches the Rfam family "Eukaryotic small subunit ribosomal RNA", at positions 592 to 976 of the family's 1831-position model. The record is from RNAcentral.